This 405-nucleotide small RNA is filed under the name Arabidopsis thaliana (thale cress). RNAcentral describes it as "putative long intergenic non-coding RNA". Lineage: Eukaryota; Viridiplantae; Streptophyta; Magnoliopsida; Brassicales; Brassicaceae. The record is from RNAcentral.
CGCCGUUUCUAUCUUCUUCGUUAUUUUCGUUUUUUUUUUUUGUGAGUAUCAAAGGCUGUUUAUGAUUGCACAAGUACUGGGACAUCCCUGUAAAAACAAUUGGGGAAUCUGUCUAAUAAUUUUAUGUGCAUAUAUCAAAAUUAGGGAUCCGCUUUGCAGCUUAUGACCCGACCCGAAUCAGUUUCGGUUUUUUUUUCGUGUCUCUGCUGCCAGUAAUCUCCUGAAAUUCACUUUUCAUCAUGAAGCCUUAUUGUUUCACUUGUUUAGUUUUUAUUCUGUUUAUCAGAAGUUUUAUUAAGAUCUCAGUUUUUUUCAACUUAAUAUUUUCUACUUGAGACAACCAUUUGCAGCCUUUUGAUUUUGAUUAAGAACCCAAAAUGUAACAAGUAAAAUUUGGUAAACUAG